RNAcentral lists this long non-coding RNA (3788 nucleotides) under Medicago truncatula (barrel medic). Its description in RNAcentral is "long non-coding RNA (MTRU_LNC002865)". Lineage: Eukaryota; Viridiplantae; Streptophyta; Magnoliopsida; Fabales; Fabaceae. The record is from RNAcentral.
UUACACUUACCUUUGUUGCCACGCCUUUACCGGUUACUUCUUACGUAACUUGGCUCAACUCGACGUCACUGAUCCUCCUCGGGAUAAAGUUGUCAUUCUUGGAGAUGGAAAUGUGAAAGGUAGCAAACUUAUUCACAAAACAGUUUUAGUACUAGUAUUCUACUAAACAUACAUCAUUCAAUUGUUUCAACAUUUGCCUUAAUUUUUUUUUUUUUCAGGAGCUUAUGUCACUGAGGCUGAUGUUGGGACUUUUACCAUUAAAGCAGCAAAUGAUCCCAACACAUUGAACAAAGCUGUCCAUAUAAGACUCCCCAAAAAUUAUUUGACCCAAAAUGAGGUUAUUUCUCUUUGGGAGAAAAAGAUUGGGAAGACUCUUGAGAAAACUUAUGUUUCAGAGGAACAAGUUCUCAAGGAUAUUCAAGGUCAGUAAAAUAAACGCUUUAUAAAUAUUGUUAAGAAUUUUUACAAUGUUAAUCAAUCAAUAAAUCGUUAAAAUUAUUUGAUUUUAAUUAUAUCUAUGCUUACUACGCAGAAUCUUCAUUCCCUCAUAACUACUUGUUGGCAUUGUAUCAUUCACAACAAAUAAAAGGAGAUGCAGUUUAUGAGAUUGAUCCAACCAAAGAUAUUGAAGCUUCUGAAGCCUAUCCUGAUGUCACAUACACCACUGCUGAUGAAUAUUUGAAUCAAUUUGUCUAAGUUUGUCAUCCCGGAAAUGUUAAAUAAGACAAAGAUUAUUUUUUCUUAAUAGUUUCACAUGUUGUACCACAUCAAUUAUAUUGUUAGUUGUCCUUGUUGUCUUGUUCUCAAUAAACCUUCCAAUUGAUGUAAUAUUUUACAAAAAUAAUAAUAUUGUAUUGUUCUAUUGUUUGCACAUUUGUGUCACUAGUAUCACUCUAUUAUUUUGUUGUUGCCCGUGAAUGGGUGACUCAAUAAAUUAUUUAAUACCCACGUCAGGAUGGACCGAUCUACCGUAUGAAGCAAUAUUUGUUUGGUCUCGGUUAUAAAUUUAAAUUAUUUACACACAUGCAAAAGAAAAAAAGUAGAAAGAAUGAACCAAUAUUUUUUUAUUUUAUUUUUAUGGGGGUGUUUGUUUGGGAGAUAAAAAAUAUAUUCCUGGGUAUAAGGGCAUUAAAUAUGAUAUUCCUAUGUUUGGUAGAAGGGAACAAAAAUAAUAUACCCAGGAAUAAAUGAUUCCCAGGAAUCUUAUUUACCCGUUGACUCUCUAUUUUUAUUCCCGGGGGUGGGGGGCUGGAAUCUUCAAUUCCUGAGAAUGAAAUCUCCACAUUCAUGACGAAAACCCACCCAUACCCCUAUUUUACCCACGCUUCUUCCCUCCUAAUUUUUCCCACGCGUUUUCUAAAUUAAUAGAAACCCACAUAUAUAUAAACCCCUCUUUGCUCUCUCUUUUCACUCAUCUGGAUCCAGAUCCAUCCAUAACAGGUUUGUGUCUUAUGUUUUGUUUUGUUUUUUGCGUUUUUUUAACUGCUGGACAGAUUCUCGGCCUGCCAGGCUGCUGUACCAGCGGAGCUGGGCCGCGCAAAUGCGAGUUUCGGUGACUGACAUUCGAGCGGGCAUCCACCAUUCUGUUGCUGUUGCAUGUCAAAGGUGUUGGGCAGUCUGCCAACCUUCAAUUAAAUGGCGUGUAACAACUUGAAACAGGGUACUCUUGUUAUGUAUUAAAAAACAAGUAUAUACCCUGACCAAUACCUUUGUUGACUCGCAUAAUUUACUUUGCUUGAUUAAAAAUAACAUGAAAAAUAUUAUUUUUCAUCAAUUUAAUGUAAAAGGGUAUUUUAAUAAUUUUGACAUUUAUUCCUGGGAUUAUACAUUUUAAACCAAACAUAUUUUUAGUAUUCCCAGGAAUUUAGAAAGAAAGUUCCAAGGAAUUCAAAUUGGUAACCAAACACUUUUUUAAAAUAUUCCUAGGAAUAUAAUUCCAAGGAAUAUAUUCCUGGGAAAAUUAUUCCAGGGAAUAAUUUUUGCAUCUGUGAAACAAACGGCCCCUAUAUUAUUGAAAUAAGUGCCCUAAAGGCAUUUGUUAGCAUUCUCCUUAAAAUAAUUAUAUGAUGUGUAUUUUGAUUGUGCACUUAAAUGAUUUGAAUUUGUGGUUGUGACUAUAUAAAAAUUAUUCGACGGCAUGAUCAACAGACCGUGUGAACAAUUGAAAUAUAUUAAAUAAUCAUGUUCAGACAUCCCUUACUUGUAGAGGUGUCAAAUGGACUGGACAACCCAGUUCGGCUUAAGAGUUUUGACUACAUAAAUGAACCAGUCUGACCAAGCCCAUUUGUAAUUGGGCCGCAUAAAAUAUAAUUGAAUGGAUAUAGAAGUAUAAAUAUUUUUUACAUUACCAUUAAAUACUAAUUAAACUCUAGAUUUAUUUCUUCAAUUGAAUCAAAUUAAUACUACAUCCGUCCAUAAUUAUAGGAUCCUUUUGAAAAAUAACAGGAAUUAAGAAAAUUAAAAGUGAUAAUAAAUUUGUUUUUAAUUACAAUUGUUUUUACAAAUUUGUCUUUUAAGAGUGGGUUAGUCCGUUAAUGUAUGUUUACAAUGUAGUAUUUAAUGAUGAUUGAAGAAAAAGAUAUACAAUAAAUAGGGGUAUGGUGGUAAAGAAUUAAUUAAUAUAUUUGGAAAUAGCAAAGAGAUUUUUAUAAAAAGAGACAAAAAAAUUCUCAAAAGGGUCCUAUAAUUAGGGACAGAGACAGUAGUUUAUAAACUUUAGAAUUUUAAAACUUUGAACUAAAUUUAUGCAUUUUUAUUAAGUUGACUUAUUUCAAUAUAUUUUAUUAAUAAAUUUUUAAAGUAGUUGAUAAUGUUUUUAAAAAAUAUAGCGUUUUUUAACAAAAAUAAAAUAAAAGUAUAGAUAGUAGGUCGGUCCGAAGUCCGAUAGGUUAGCCUGACUCGGCCCCAUUUUCAUAUGGAUCAAAUGAGCUAAGGUAAAAAAAAAUACGAGAGUAUUUUUAGUUAGGUUUGUGGUUCGGCCCAAAAUGUGUCAUUUUUUAUGUCUCUACUUACUAGCCAUCUCACCAUUAACAACGAUUUGUCAACUAAACAAUGUCAUCUUCUUUUCUAUUAAAGUUAACCCGGAAGCCCUAAUUUUAACCUAAACUAUAUUGCAUAAAUUUACUGUUUUAACCCUAAUGCUUAAUUCCUUUGUUUAAUCCUAUUAACCCUAUUUCUUGGUUGAAACAAAUUGAACCUAAUCUCCUAUUUUCUUGAAUAAAACAAAUUGGCCCUAUUUCUUCAACAAAACAAAUCGCUUUAUUUCUUGCUUUAAAAAAGAAACAACAACUCAAGUUGGGAUACUCUACUUGACCUAGAAGAGAAAUAACGGAAAGAAGAACUUGCCUUUUUGAGAACUUAUUGUCGGAACUCGGAAGCAAUGGUGAUCUGCUAAGUUUAUGGCGAGUUCGAUUGAUUAUGAGCUGCUAAGUUCGAUUGAGUAAGAGUUCGAUUGAUUAUGAGUUGCGAAGUUCCAUUGAGUAACAGGCAACAAAUCCUUCUUCUCAUGGCGGUAGGGAUGAGAGAUUUUGCUUACAACAAAUUAAUGGCAUGAUCAUAGGAAAGAGAUUUUAGUUUCUAGGUUUAGUAAGAACAAUGGGAUGAGAAAUGAUGAGGUAGAGUUGCAUGUGAAGAUAUGAUGAGGGAGAUAAAGAUGUUGAUAGGUUUUGGAAUAGGAAAGUAAUUUUUAUGAGAGAGGUUGACUACAGCUAUAAAAUAAAUGAUAAUUAUAUUUAUUUGAUACUUCCUAAAUGUUGUUACUUGAGAGUUAAAACGAUCUCUUUCCUGUG